This 253-nucleotide ribosomal RNA is filed under the name uncultured bacterium. RNAcentral describes it as "partial 16S ribosomal RNA". It matches the Rfam family "Bacterial small subunit ribosomal RNA", at positions 524 to 776 of the family's 1533-position model. The record is from RNAcentral.
UACGUAGGGUGCAGGCGUUACUCGGAAUUACUGGGCGUAAAGCGUGCGCAGGCGGCUUGCUAAGGGAGAUGUGAAAACCCCGGGCUUAACCUGGGAACUGCGUUUCUAACUGGCAGGCUUGAGUGUGGCAGAGGGGGGUGGAAUUCCACGUGUAGCAGUGAAAUGCGUAGAGAUGUGGAGGAACACCGAUGGCGAAGGCAGCCCCCUGGGCUAACACUGACGCUCAUGCACGAAAGCGUGGGGAGCAAACAGG